This 253-nucleotide ribosomal RNA is filed under the name uncultured bacterium. RNAcentral's name for it is "partial 16S ribosomal RNA". It matches the Rfam family "Bacterial small subunit ribosomal RNA", at positions 524 to 776 of the family's 1533-position model. The record is from RNAcentral.
UACGAAGGGUGCGAACGUUGCUCGGAAUCAUUGGGCGUAAAGCGCACGUAGGCGGCGGCGUAAGCGGGAUGUGAAAGCCCAGGGCUCAACCCUGGAAGUGCAUCCCGAACUGUGUCGCUUGAAUCUCGGAGGGGGACAGAGAAUUCCCGGUGUAGAGGUGAAAUUCGUAGAUAUCGGGAGGAAUACCAGUGGCGAAGGCGCUGUCCUGGACGAAGAUUGACGCUGAGGUGCGAAAGCGUGGGGAGCAAACAGG